This 472-nucleotide ribosomal RNA is filed under the name uncultured bacterium. RNAcentral describes it as "bacterial SSU rRNA". It matches the Rfam family "Bacterial small subunit ribosomal RNA", at positions 32 to 514 of the family's 1533-position model. The record is from RNAcentral.
AAUCAACGCUGGCGGCGUGCCUCAGACAUGCAAGUCGAACGAUUAAAGCUCUCUUCGGAGAGUGUAUAGAGUGGCGCACGGGUGAGUAACACGUAAGUAAUCUACCUUUGAGUGGGGAAUAACCCGGGGAACCCGAGCUAAUACCGCAUAAUGCAGCGGCACCGCAAGGUGACAGUUGUUAAAGGAGCAAUCCGCUUAAAGAGGAGCUUGCGGCAGAUUAGCUAGNGGUAAGGUAAUGGCUUACCAAGGCUUCGAUCUGUAUCCGGCCUGAGAGGGCGGUCGGACACACUGACACUGAAUAACGGGUCAGACUCCUACGGGAGGCAGCAGUCGGGAAUUUUGGGCAAUGGGCGAAAGCCUGACCCAGCAACGCCGCGUGAAGGAUGAAGUAUUUCGGUAUGUAAACUUCGAAAGAAUGGGAAGAAUCAAUGACGGUACCAUUUAUAAGGUCCGGCUAACUACGUGCCAGCCG